Molecule: long non-coding RNA, 2048 nt
Organism: Cydia splendana
Lineage: Eukaryota; Metazoa; Arthropoda; Insecta; Lepidoptera; Tortricidae
Exons: 2
Source: RefSeq, a predicted model, not a curated record
UUGCUAGCGAUGGGAUACGUAUGAUAUGUUUGAACGCUAUAAGAGGUCGGCUGAUGGAGUCUUCACCGUGGAGUCCUUGUGACCGCUCAAAAUGGAGACAAAUUACAUUUGGUCGCAAUCCUCAGCAAUGAGGGAACUAGCAAGAAGAUGGUGUUACAAAGCGCUGUAAUUUUUGUGAUAUCAAAAUUGCCAAAUGGUAGCAAAAAACAAUUUAGUUACCGCAACUGUACGACAAUCGCCAUCUAUUUCAGAUAUUAAAGGCAAUACACGAUUUCUUCAAUGUUUACGUCGACUAUAGUUAAAUUUUGUAUGUAAUCAGGUUAGAUUAAUUAUUUAAUUGUUGUAAAUUGUAAAGGUGUUAUGUGUGUCGCACAUGGGUGUAGUCAGAUGAGAUUUUUCUCUGUUUUCGUCGGUUUAGUGUGAUGACAUGAUGAGUUACAGUUCAUUUACAUUAGAUCUAAAUCACUCUUAGCCUGUUAUUGGGCUGUCUAAUGGGCCCUCACACAAGGACCGGUUUUUUACUAAUAUGAUUAUUCUAAAAAUAUUUUUUCUGCUCUAUACAACCCAACCGAGGUUUGAACCCACGAUAUUUGACCACCACACACACAUAUGAAAGGUUAAAUAAUCGCAAAUAACCAAAAAAAGUGAUUUUGGUUUGAAUGUAAAUGAACAGGAGUGUACACUCAGUUUGUUGUACCUGAUUAUCGCACAACUUGUCCGACGAUCAGUCUAGAUAAUGAUCUCGUUUUAGGAUUGCGACGCGCAUCUUUAAGGCCAGAUUUUAUAAAGUUCCCUUAGAUGUUAUCUCAAAAAUGUACUGAUUAUUUGAUUUAUCAUAAGCCUUAAUACCUAAGGGAUCCUUAUAGAACCGAGGCUUAUACUACUUAUUUUAAUCUAUGGAUUUAUGUUAUAUGAAACUUCAUGCUUAAACUGAAAUACCGAGUAGCCACUAGGGUUGUGUCCCCAAGUACAUUCUCAGUGUUGUAUGGGGAUACGUUAUUGCUCGAAAAUCUUGUUAACGGAUUAUUAGUUAACUGUGUGGAUGAUACUAUGAUCGUAUCGUAUUCAGGAAUUACAUUAUAUUGUUUUAUUCGUUUUCGUGAUGCGUUUGUAAUUUUAUUCCAAACUUCCAAAGAGUAAAAACUAUAUCACCAUCAUAUUUAAGAAUACAGCGAAUAUGUACAGCGUAAGCUGACUGUACCAGGAUUAUGAAGUUGAUUUAUAAACUGUCAGGCUCUUCCAAUCAUUAAUAAAAUCAGAAUACUAAAUGUACAAUUGAUGAAAUGAAUGAUGAUUCCAUGCUGCUUUCACUAUUAUAAUUGAGCACUGAGGCGAGGGCAAAGCGGUAAAACCCGAGUCAAGUAAAUAAAACAAGGCUAGCAGGUUUUACAUCUUAAUUUCACUAUCGUAAUUUGUCCAAUUAAGACAACUAUUGAAAUUAUUGAAUGCCAAAUCCAUUGUAUAAUAGAUUUCUUAUACAGGGCUGGAAACUUAAAGGGAUAUAUCGUAAUAUCAUAAAUGUUGAAACUAUGAAUGUUUUGUAUAAAAAAUAUAUUUUAAAAGCACCAUUAUAUGUAAAUAAAGAAUAAUACAUACCAAGGGAUUACCCACCUCUCGAUAGCUUUCUCCUUCAUUCAGAUGUCACCGGCGGUAACUGUAAUAGUUGAAACCUAAUCAAUGGAAUUUGUGUUUUCGAAGUAUGACUUAUUGUUGUAUAAACAAUGAUGCCUUUUUAUAUGAUAGCGUACGUCAGUACCUUAUUUUAUUAUAGUAGGUAUUCGGUUAAUUUCUUAUAUUGUUAUCCUAGUGGUUCUUUGUAAUUAUGAAACAUACUUUUUGAAAUUGCAUAUUAUUUCCAUUCCAGCCGUUUGACGCUGACUUUGUACAGAUUUCAUGUAAAUUAAAUCCCGGUUAUACAAAAUAUUACGGGAUAAUAUAUAAAUUGCAUUUAUAAUAUAUAACGCGAUGUUGGAAUUGUAAUAAGUUAUAUAAUGUAAAAAUAUGUUUUUUAAUUAUUGUUUGUAAUAAAAUGUUUUAUGAUUGAAAAA